AGUAGUGCGCAGUGGCAGUAUCGUAGCCAAUGAGGUUUAUCCGAGGCACAAUUAUGGAUAACUGAAAAACCAGUAAGAAAGCCAUUUAUAUCAAUCCUCUUUUUUUAAGGGA
RNAcentral lists this small nuclear RNA (112 nucleotides) under Dasypus novemcinctus (nine-banded armadillo). RNAcentral's name for it is "U4 spliceosomal RNA (ENSDNOG00000026649.1)". Lineage: Eukaryota; Metazoa; Chordata; Mammalia; Cingulata; Dasypodidae. The record is from RNAcentral.